RNAcentral lists this long non-coding RNA (3762 nucleotides) under Canis lupus familiaris (dog). RNAcentral describes it as "lncRNA (ENSCAFG00030012771.1)". Lineage: Eukaryota; Metazoa; Chordata; Mammalia; Carnivora; Canidae. The record is from RNAcentral.
AUGCUGUCAAUGAAAAAAAUCACCCAAAUUGCUUCAGUGCUUCAAUCACCCCCAUUGACUAAACAUUGGCGCAGUGAGGAAAAACAUGCGUUGAACUUUCCUGAGGAAACUCCAGUUGUGGUGUUGCCUUGGCUUGUGCAUUUGGCACUCAUAAUGGAUGGGAUACUGACUUUCAUCCUAGAGGCACUGCUCCAUAUUUGGAUGAUAUCUACUGCUACCACAUGGGACAUUGUCAGCUGGACCGAUUUUUCUCUCUCCAUUUGAGCAGUAUUUUUAGGAUCUCCCGAGAUAACUUUGUUCAACGACUUCCCACCAGACAGGAUAUUUAAUGCAAUUAUUUCUCUCUACAUUGGCCUCAAACUGAACUUUAGCACAGACAUUCUUAUCAACUCACUUUAAAAAAAUUUUUUUUUUAUUGGAGUUCAAUUUGCCAACAUAUAGCAUAACAUCCUCAACUCACUUUUGAAUUCAAACUGGCCAUUCAUUUGGUGUUUCUCUUUCUUUGUCACAUUAUUAAAAUCCUAAGUUCCUGUGGUCGAAAAUCUCACCACAAUAUGCAGAAGUAGGAAGCACUAGAACAGUGUAAGUGAAAUAUCUCUAGCCUUGUGCUUUGCUUGCCUUCUAAGAGUUAACUUUAACAUGAAGGAUUUGGCACCACGGUGUGUCCUAACAUCCUCAAUUGACAGAAGGUAAUAGGGUGAUAAUAGAUAGAUUCAGGCCAAGAAGAUUUUCCUACUGUUAUCAAUUCAAUUUCAGUGAAGGAAGUUUCAGUGGCAAUCAUAUUGCUCCCACUCCUUCUCUAUCAAGGAAUGAGUACAAUUUAGAUAGUUUGCCUAAGAGUAAAAUAAUAUCAACAAAUGUAAAACCAGCCCAAUACUCUCAUUUUCUUGGCGAGGCACAUCAAGAUAUGCUAGCGAGCUGUCAGAGGCUGUAAAUCUAGCUAAUCUCCCUUGUAGCGCUUUCUAAUCUUUCUCUUCAGCUCAGAGAAGAACCAUGUCCCCUGCUAAUUCUAUGUUAGGUUAAUUGGAUUGGCUGUGUAAUAUUCAAUUGAGAUUACCUCCAUAAAAUUUAUUUGUAAAUUUUAUUCCUUAAGUAGUGACAGAGUGAGAUAGUCCUUUUUUUUUUGGACUUACUGCAGCUAACAUCCCCCUAAAGGUGAAAAUAUGUUUAAGGCAUUUGGAUUUAUUAAGGAAAGAAAAAUAUAGUCACAAAACGGAAAAAGAAGAGAGAGAGAAAGAGACACAGAGAGAGGGAGGCAACAACAUCACUUAGCUUCUAAAGUGAGGGUUGGAUUUUGGAUGACCUGUAAGGAAGCUACUUCCUGAAUCUUUUCAUCAUAGACUCCUAGGGCCUCAAGACAUGCUGAGUGGUGUGAAUGACACAAAGGAGGGAGGAACUGCAUUUUCAAUACAGUAUCCAUAGCCGUUUCCAAGCUCCCCUCACACUGCAUUAGAUGACCUGCAGCAGACAAUUAGAGGGACUCAUGGAAUGACUCUGGGGGAGGAGUUCCUGCAUUAUUCUCCAGCCCUGGGACACAGUGGCAGGGACUGUGUGACAGAUCUGGUGUGGGGAGGGGCAAUAUGAUUCCCUGCAGCAGCCCUGUUGCAAUGGCUAGUGGAUAGAAGUCCAGACACUGGAGCCAGCCUUUAGCUCCAGUAGGCAGUAAGGUCUUCAGAAGUCACAUAGUCUUCUCUGCUUUCCUAUCUAUCCAGUGGGGAUAAAAAAUGCCUGCCUCAUAGGAUGAUUUUGAGAAUUUAAUGAGAUAAUAUAUAAUUAGGCUAGUGCCUACCAUGUAAGAAGCAUUCAAUAAUUGUUAACUUUUUUUUUUUUUACACUCUUCUCUCAAACCCAGAGUCUCAGGGGACUGGUGUUGGAGAUGGCCAUAAGUUGUCUCAUGAGAAAGGAAAAGAGAGUGAGUGCUAAGAGAGUGAGUGCUGGGGCCUUGGAGAGAAGGAUGAAGCACCACUCUCCCACCUAGGGAUGGGCUGGUACUGGUCAUUUAACCUAUACAGAGAAUGCUCAUUUGCCAACUAAUUUCUUUCUUUUUAUUUUAUUUUAUUUUAUUUUAUUUUAUUUUAUUUUAUUUAUUUUUAUUAUUUAUUCAUGAGAGACACAGAGAGGUAGGGACAUAGGCAGAGGGAGAAGCAGACUUCCCGCAGGAAGCCCGAUGUGGACCCCAUCCCAGGACCCCAGGAUCCAUGACCUGAGCCAAAGGCAGAUGCUCAACCACUGAGCCACCCAGGUGCCCUUCAUUUGCCAACAAAUAUCUAUUUCUAAAUCCUCAAGGCAAUGGAAUCUAAUGUUUAAAAUGUGAUUAGAGCUGGUGUAGUUGAGCAAGGAAAAGCAUCAUGUUCCCCCUACUUGUGUAGGUGUGGUAAUGGCAUAGGGUAAGGGCUAAUGGAACAGACUUUGGAGCUGAAGUGUCUAGCUGAAUAACCAGCUCCACCAAUUACUGGCCAAGUUCAUUGGCAAGUUAUACAACAUCUCUAUGCAAUGGUUUCCUCUUCUGGGAAAUGGGGAUAAUAAUAGUAUCUGCCUUGUCGUAUUGUUAUGAUUAUUAAGUGAGUUAAUAACUGAAAGCAGCGCAAAUGUUUUUAUGGAAUAUAGUAAGUGCUAUACCCACAUCUAUAGCUAAAGAUUUUACAGCAGUCGUAAUUUCCAUGUGAAUUUAUUAUCUGCAACUUCAGAUCUUUAGAGGAGUUUAGGUUGGAAGUAUUCCCCAGUGCGGCAGUAUUUCUGAAUAACCUUGAGUUUGGAUUUCUGAUUCUAGAACUAUGUACACAGUGAGUGUAUGUGAUUCACCGGUGACUGUUUAAUGUGUUUCCCAAAGAGGGAAAUCGAAAGAGAGGAAGAAGGGAGAGGCAACUCUGCCUAGUGAAAAUGAACCAGAUGGUUAGAGAGAUGCAUAAAACACUUUCAGGAGGCAGGAAAGAGGAAAAUGAUCAGAAGAGGAUCAAUAAAAGGUAAGAUGAGUACCAAAGCUGGGCAAGGGGACUAUUUGGUGAAGUGGCUUAAACCAGUUUGGGAUGCUGGGAGACAGAGUUGCUAAUAAGAUGGUAGCAUACGCAGCAAGGCAUACGCUUGCCCCCUCUCCCACUCCUCCCUCCCGUGAUGCCUUUAUAUUUUUAGGCUGUGGGGUUGGAAUGAUGAAUGCCCAAGUGGAAAUAAUGUUGGAAGGAGAUUUUUCUUGGCAAAAUGGCAGUAAGGGCUGCCAAGUAUUUUCUAAGAUGUAAACAAAUCAUCCUCCUUCAUCAGGGAAAGAUUAACACAUAUUAUUCCCGAGUCAAUGUGGGAUUUUCACCUUCUGCAAUUUGCAAUUUGAAUUCUACCCAUCAUCAUGGGUUUUUACAACCUCCUGUGCAUUAAGCACUCCAUUGCUCUGAGAAAUCAUUGGUGUUCCAGCUGCUAGAAUCAAAUAAUCAGGCACAAGUCAGGAAAUAAAAAUUUUCUACUCAAGAUAAGCAAGUUAUGGGGUACAGUGGCAAUGGUACCAACUUGGGAUUUGAGUUUUCUCCUGGUUAGGCCACCAACUACUCCUCUGUGUAUCUCUACUUUCGUAGUUCUAGGAGAGGAGUAUGGGAUUAAGUGAUAUUUAAGAUUUCUUCUGGCUCUGAAUCCUAUGAUCUGUGUGAUUCUAGGCUACUCUGGGCAGAAAGUAGCUUUGUCUUUAUAUUCAUGAUACAAACUUUCCAGAAUUUCAGAACAUUCCUCUCCCAUUUUUUGGAAUGUCCCUUUCUCCCAAGGUCACACUGUGAAAACUUU